ACCUGAAGCCUAUCGAUCUAUGCCUGGCCAGAUUGAAGCCCGAUGAAAGUUGGGUGGAGGAUCCAACCGUUGCUGAUGUGCAAAUCGCUCGGAUGAGCUGGGUAUAGGGGUGAAAGUCCAAUCGAGAUGGGCAAUAGCAGGUUCCGCGCGAGACUACUCGCAGGUAGAUCUUCGCAGAGAUAGAUUACGAUGUAGAGCACUGAUUGGGUAUUUAGGGGGAGCGAUCCCUCGGUACGCUGUCAAACUCCGAAGUUGUAAUCGUCGUAGACGCGAGGAGUGAGCCACGGUGGGUAAGCUACCGUGACGAAAGGUGAAGAAACCAGCUUAGUGUUAAGGUCCCAAAAUUACAGUUAAGUGUUAAUUACAAACGGAGUCCGUGGUCGAAGACAACUAGAAGGUGGGCUUAGAGGCAGCCAUCCUUGAAAGAGUUCGUAACAGAUCACUAGUCAAGCUUGCGGGCCCGAAAAAUGGACGGGACUAAAACUGUAUACCGAUACACUAAUCCUUCGAAAGAAGAUGAGGUAGCGCGGCGACAUGCUCGGGUAGAAGCUCGGUUUUGAGAUCGGGUGGACCGUGUAUGUAUGAGAAUCUAGGGAAGAGUAGCAGCAUAGUGCGGUGAGAAUCCGCACCACCGAAGGGGUAAGGGUUCCUCGGCAAUGGUUAUCAGCCGAGGGUUAGCCGAUCCUAAGGUCAUUCCUAACCGAAAUGAUCGAAAGGGAAUUGCGUUAAUAUUCGUAAGCCCCUCUUACAUUAAUGGUGACGGCUUGGGCUAGUUUAUGCGCAUCUGUCAUGGUGCGUCGAAGCGUUCAAUAAUCGAAUGGAGAACCGUAAUGGUGAGAAGUUUGAGAAGACGUGAGCAAAAGAUAGAUGAGGCCUAGGUCCCAUGAAAAACCGUAAGAGGUGAUCGUACCAAGAUCUGACACAGGUACCCAAGGUGAGAAGCCUAAGGUGUGACGGGCAAAGUAUCGUGAAGGAACUCGGCAAAAUCGCUCUGUAACUUCGGGAGAAGGAGUGCCAGGUUCGAGAGAACCUGGUCGCAGUAACAAGGGGACUCCGACUGUUUAAUAAAAACAUAGCCGACUGCUAGUUCGAAAGGAUGUGUAUAGUCGGUGAAUCCUGCUCAGUGCCGGUAUCUGAAAUCGGGUUUCAACCUGAUGAAGGACCGGUAAACAGCGGGGGUAACUAUGACCCUCUUAAGGUAGCGUAAUACCUUGUCGCUUAAUUGGCGACUUGCAUGAAUGGCACAACGAGAGUCCCACUGUCUCCACGAUACGUCCGGCGAAAUUGACUAUUACUGGCGCACAGUCCAGUAACCUCAACCUGCAAGCGAAGACCCCAUAGAGCUUUACUACAGCCUGGCGUUGAAUAAUCGCACACUAUGUGCUGAGUAGACGGGAGAUGUUAAUCAUUUGGACGCCAGUCCAGAUGGGAGUCGUCCAUAGAGACACCGUCCUUAGUUUGUAAUUAUUCUAACUCUUUUAGAGAACACCGUUUGGUGGGUAGUUUGGGUGGGGCGCCACGCGCCCGAAAAUAUAACAGGCGUGCCCAAAGGUCAGCUUAGGUGGUUCAGUCUCCACCGUUAACCGUAAGGGGAAAAGCUGGCUUGACGUGGAUCGGACCAAUAACGAUCGACGAUGCGAAAGCAGGGCCUAACGAACCAAUCUACCUCAUUUAUGGGGGUGAUUGAUAACAGAAAAGUUACCUUGGGGAUAAUUGAGUUGUCACCAGCAAGAGCACAUAUCGACCUGGUGGCUUGCUACUUCGAUGUCGUCUCUUCCCAACCUCCUGGUGCAGCAGCUGGGAAGGGUGGGGUUGUUCGCCCAUUAAAGGGGAUCGUGAGAUGGGUUUAGACCGUCGUGAGACAGGUUUGUUGCUUUGUGGUUGAGGCGUAUCAGAUGCCUGAUCGGAAGGGUCCUUUAGUACGAGAGGAACGAGGACUCGGAGCCACUAGUUUACCAGUUGUCCGACAGGGCAAUGCUGGGUAGCCACGCUCCAGUGGAUAAGAGCUGAAAGCAUCUAAGCUCGAAGUCAUCCGAAAGACGAGGCAUCUCAGGGGACUCAUAGAAGAUGAGUUUGAUAGACAGCGGGUGUAAGUAUCGAGGGUUCGCCCGAGAUAUUCAGCCCAGCUGCACUAACCCCCCGAGCAUUCAUCAAU
RNAcentral lists this ribosomal RNA (2155 nucleotides) under Methanobacteriota archaeon. RNAcentral describes it as "Euryarchaeota archaeon partial 23S ribosomal RNA". It matches the Rfam family "Archaeal large subunit ribosomal RNA", at positions 789 to 2987 of the family's 2987-position model. Lineage: Archaea; Methanobacteriati; Methanobacteriota. The record is from RNAcentral.